RNAcentral lists this ribosomal RNA (373 nucleotides) under uncultured bacterium. Its description in RNAcentral is "bacterial SSU rRNA". It matches the Rfam family "Bacterial small subunit ribosomal RNA", at positions 524 to 896 of the family's 1533-position model. The record is from RNAcentral.
UACGAAGGGGGCUAGCGUUGCUCGGAAUGACUGGGCGUAAAGGGCGCGUAGGCGGCACAACUCGUCAGGCGUGAAAUUCCCGGGCUUAACCUGGGGACUGCGUUUGAUACGGUUGAGCUAGAGGAUGGAAGAGGCUCGUGGAAUUCCCAGUGUAGAGGUGAAAUUCGUAGAUAUUGGGAAGAACACCGGUGGCGAAGGCGGCGAGCUGGUCCAUUACUGACGCUGAGGCGCGAAAGCGUGGGGAGCAAACAGGAUUAGAUACCCUGGUAGUCCACGCUGUAAACGAUGUGCGCUGGAUGUUGGGUAACUUAGUUACUCAGUGUCGUAGCUAACGCGAUAAGCGCACCGCCUGGGGAGUACGGCCGCAAGGUUG